RNAcentral lists this ribosomal RNA (324 nucleotides) under uncultured prokaryote. RNAcentral's name for it is "bacterial SSU rRNA". It matches the Rfam family "Bacterial small subunit ribosomal RNA", at positions 26 to 352 of the family's 1533-position model. The record is from RNAcentral.
AGAUUGAACGCUGGCGGCAUGCUUUACACAUGCAAGUCGAACGGCAGCACGGGGGCAACCCUGGUGGCGAGUGGCGAACGGGUGAGUAAUGCAUCGGAACGUAUCCUUGAGUGGGGGAUAACGUAGGGAAACUUACGCUAAUACCGCAUACGACCGAGAGGUGAAAGCGGGGGACCGAAAGGCCUCGCGCAGCAGGAUGAGCCGAUGUCCGAUUAGCUAGUUGGUGGGGUAACGGCCUACCAAGGCGACGAUCGGUAGCUGGUCUGAGAGGAUGAUCAGCCACACUGGGACUGAGACACGGCCCAGACUCCUACGGGAGGCAGC